GGUGGGAUGGGUGAGUGGCUGAAACCAACAGUUUGCUAAACUGUCGUACGGGUAACUGUACCGCGAGUUCGAAUCUCGCUCCCACCGCCA
RNAcentral lists this transfer RNA (90 nucleotides) under Cryomorphaceae bacterium. RNAcentral's name for it is "tRNA-Ser". It matches the Rfam family "tRNA". From Rfam's summary of the family: Transfer RNA (tRNA) molecules are approximately 80 nucleotides in length. Their secondary structure includes four short double-helical elements and three loops (D, anti-codon, and T loops). Further hydrogen bonds mediate the characteristic L-shaped molecular structure. tRNAs have two regions of fundamental functional importance: the anti-codon, which is responsible for specific mRNA codon recognition, and the 3' end, to which the tRNAs corresponding amino acid is attached (by aminoacyl-tRNA synthetases). tRNAs cope with the degeneracy of the genetic code in two manners: having more than one tRNA (with a specific anti-codon) for a particular amino acid; and 'wobble' base-pairing, i.e. permitting non-standard base-pairing at the 3rd anti-codon position. RNAcentral also lists the same sequence under 2 other names. The record is from RNAcentral. Lineage: Bacteria; Pseudomonadati; Bacteroidota; Flavobacteriia; Flavobacteriales; Cryomorphaceae.